UAUGAAGGUUCAGGCUGAAGACCUUACCCGAUUAGCUGAGAGGUGGUGCAUGGCCGUCGUCAGUUCGUACUGUGAAGCAUCCUGUUAAGUCAGGCAACGAGCGAGACCCACGUCCACAGUUGCCAGCAUACCCUCCGGGGUGAUGGGUACACUGUGGAGACCGCCGCUGCUAAAGCGGAGGAAGGAGUGGGCAACGGUAGGUCAGUAUGCCCCGAAUCUCCCGGGCUACACGCGGGCUACAAUGGUUGGUACAAUGGGCAUCUACCCCGAAAGGGGAAGGAAAUCUCUUAAAGCCAAUCGUAGUUCGGAUUGAGGGCUGCAACUCGCCCUCAUGAAGCUGGAAUCCGUAGUAAUCGCGUUUCAACAGAACGCGGUGAAUACGUCCCUGCUCCUU
RNAcentral lists this ribosomal RNA (394 nucleotides) under uncultured Methanosaeta sp. RNAcentral's name for it is "bacterial SSU rRNA". It matches the Rfam family "Archaeal small subunit ribosomal RNA", at positions 946 to 1338 of the family's 1478-position model. The record is from RNAcentral. Lineage: Archaea; Methanobacteriati; Methanobacteriota; Methanomicrobia; Methanotrichales; Methanotrichaceae.